GCCAGGUGGGGUGGCCCGCACCUGUAAUCCCAGCUACUCAGGAGGCUGAGGCAGGAGAAUCACUUGAACCCAGGAGGCAGAGGUUGCAGUGAGCCGUGAUUGUGCCACUGCACUCCAGCCUGGGUGACAGAGUGAGACUCUGUCUCAA
RNAcentral lists this signal recognition particle RNA (148 nucleotides) under Gorilla gorilla gorilla (western lowland gorilla). RNAcentral describes it as "Metazoan signal recognition particle RNA". It matches the Rfam family "Metazoan signal recognition particle RNA". Rfam says of the family: The signal recognition particle (SRP) is a universally conserved ribonucleoprotein. It is involved in the co-translational targeting of proteins to membranes. The eukaryotic SRP consists of a 300-nucleotide 7S RNA and six proteins: SRPs 72, 68, 54, 19, 14, and 9. The record is from Rfam by way of RNAcentral. Lineage: Eukaryota; Metazoa; Chordata; Mammalia; Primates; Hominidae.